GAGACCUAAAAGAUAAGUCAGAGUGACUUGGGCAAAGGGAGCAAGAAAAGAGGGUCCUGGUUCCAGGAAAUCCACCUGCAAAGACCAAGAUGCAAAGAGCUUGCAUAUGUUGUUUCCUAAUAUGUGUCAGGCCCCAUGUGAGCUACUGGGGUGCAGAGCUAAAGAAGACACAGUUCAGCCCUCACAGAGCCUGCCAUCUGCAUGGAGGAGACCACCAAGGACCUGAACCAACCCCAGGAAUGGUUUUUGGCACCUCCUCCAAGCAGCUCCCACUGCUGAUCUCACCGCCCAGUUACUCUGAGACCAUCCAGAAUUCCUAUGUCCAGACAUACAAGCACUCUUCAUCUGGCACAUUUUCAAACACCUUUUGUUAACAGACUCCAGAAUUAAUACUACGGUUUGCUGUGACAUUCAAAUGUGGGAAUCUGUAAAAAUGCUUAAUCCGCCACGCCUGGGCCUGUGCUAAUGCUCAAUGGACAUUAGUCCCUGUCCUUCCCCUGGCAGUGACCUGUCUAUGAUGACACAUCAGAAUCAGCCAGUAACAGUUUUCAGGUCACACUUGGAAGAGCAAUGCCCUCCCACCCUGACGAGAAGGUUCUGCAUGUGAUCAGUGCUUGAGACACUUGAUGGAAUCCUUUGGAAACUUUCUGCCAGUUCUCCUCCAGAUGUCUGAGCAGAUGCACAGAGGUGUGUCUUUGUGGAGGAGCCCUCAGAGUGAGGAGGCCCCCUCUGUGGUGCUGCGUGCAGGAAGAUUUGGGUGUGGACACCAGUUCUGCUGUCUAAGUAGCUUCAUGACCCUAGGCAUGUGACCUGAAAGUGACCUUGACCUGAAGUAGAUCAAGAUUCUUGAACUCUUUUGUGUCAUGGAUCUACCUGAGAGUCUGGGAAGACCUAUGGAUCUCUUCUCAGAAUGUUUUAAUGUUUUAAAUGCAGAAAAUGAAAACCACAGGAUUUCAAAGGAAAUUAAUUUUUCUCAAAUACAAUUAUUAAAAUAUGUGGUGUAAAAAAUGUUUCUUUAUUAACAUGAAAAUAAUGAUAUUUACUGGUGGGCAAAGUACCUACUAUAAUGUGACGUAUUGAUGAGUGUGAAACUAUAUUUCAAGUA
Rhinolophus ferrumequinum (greater horseshoe bat) is the source of this 1105-nucleotide long non-coding RNA. RefSeq lists it as uncharacterized. The transcript has 4 exons. The record is from RefSeq and is a predicted model, not a curated record. Lineage: Eukaryota; Metazoa; Chordata; Mammalia; Chiroptera; Rhinolophidae.